This 567-nucleotide ribosomal RNA is filed under the name uncultured archaeon. RNAcentral describes it as "bacterial SSU rRNA". It matches the Rfam family "Archaeal small subunit ribosomal RNA", at positions 326 to 897 of the family's 1478-position model. The record is from RNAcentral.
CGGGGUGCAGCAGGCGCGAAAACUUUACAAUGCCGGCAACGGCGAUAAGGGAACCUCGAGUGCCAGGUUAUAAAUCUGGCUGUCGUGAUGCCUAAAAAGCAUUGCAUAGCAAGGGCCGGGCAAGACCGGUGCCAGCCGCCGCGGUAACACCGGCGGCUCGAGUGGUAACCGUUAUUAUUGGGUCUAAAGGGUCUGUAGCCGGCCGGAUAAGUCUCUUGGGAAAUCCAGCAGCUCAACUGUUGGGCUUCCAGGAGAUACUGUCUGGCUCGAGGCCGGGAGAGGUGAGAGGUACUUCAGGGGUAGGGGUGAAAUCUUGUAAUCCUUGAAGGACCACCAGUGGCGAAGGCGUCUCACCAGAACGGACCUGACGGCAAGGGACGAAAGCUAGGGGCACGAACCGGAUUAGAUACCCGGGUAGUCCUAGCCGUAAACGAUACUCGCUAGGUGUCGGCCACGGUGCGACCGUGGUCGGUGCCGUAGGGAAGCCGUGAAGCGAGCCACCUGGGAAGUACGGCCGCAAGGCUGAAACUUAAAGGAAUUGGCGGGGGAGCACAAGGGCGAAUCGCG